GACGAACGCUGGCGGCGUGCCUAAUACAUGCAAGUAGAACGCUGAAGAGAGGAGCUUGCUCUUCUUGGAUGAGUUGCGAACGGGUGAGUAACGCGUAGGUAACCUGCCUGGUAGCGGGGGAUAACUAUUGGAAACGAUAGCUAAUACCGCAUAAAAUUGAUUAUUGCAUGAUAAUUAAUUGAAAGAUGCAAUUGCAUCACUACCAGAUGGACCUGCGUUGUAUUAGCUAGUUGGUGAGGUAACGGCUCACCAAGGCGACGAUACAUAGCCGACCUGAGAGGGUGAUCGGCCACACUGGGACUGAGACACGGCCCAGACUCCUACGGGAGGCAGCAGUAGGGAAUCUUCGGCAAUGGGGGGAACCCUGACCGAGCAACGCCGCGAGAGUGAAGAAGGUUUUCGGAUCGUAAAGCUCUGUUGUAAGAGAAGAACGGGUGUGAGAGUGGAAAGUCACACUGGA
This 460-nucleotide ribosomal RNA is filed under the name Streptococcus sanguinis. Its description in RNAcentral is "bacterial SSU rRNA". It matches the Rfam family "Bacterial small subunit ribosomal RNA", at positions 28 to 472 of the family's 1533-position model. The record is from RNAcentral. Lineage: Bacteria; Bacillati; Bacillota; Bacilli; Lactobacillales; Streptococcaceae.